AGGGGAUGUUUAGAUAGGGAAAUGAAGAACUCAGAAAAGAGGCAGAUCCAACCCCAUUGUUUUUCAAUAACCUGAAGAAAAAGUUCUGCAAACAAGGCAGAAGGUGCAGCUCUGAGACAGCACGGUGCUGUGGAAAGACCAUGGUUUUGGGGCCCAAGAGACGGGGGUUCAGCUCCAGGUGUUCUGGGUAAUCAUCAGCAAGUGACUUAGCUUCUUUCAGCCCCAGUUGCUUCAUUUGCUUAUAAACAAGACAUACGAGUAAUGUGCAUAAAGAAUUUGGCACAAAGCAGGCCCUAAAUAAAUGUUAAGAACUGCCGAGCUAGAGACUAUAUUUCCUAGCUUCCCUUGUAGCUAGGUGUGUCCACGUGGUUAAAAGUUCUGAAUGUGAGGGGAAAUGAUUUGUGCAAUCACUGCCUCCCUUGCUGAAAAAAGUUAUUCACCUUAAACUUCCCCUGUUUCUUAUUCCUGUGGGAUAGAAACAGAUUUGGAGGUAACCCCACAUUGACCAUGCAGAUAAAGACAAUGAUGGUGCAGCAACAUCAGGAUGGAAGGGGUUGGGGCUGAUGAACGGUCCUGUGGUCAGAGCUGUCCCACCAGCUGAGAUUAGGUGGACUGUUAUGUCAGAGAGGCCUACACUAUCGUAUUAUUAGAAACAAGCUGCAAUUUGGGGUUAGUUUUUACCCUAAGUAAUACAGGAGGAUUUUAGACAUUUUUUGUUGGGAUAGUCACUGGUUUCCAGGUAGCUUCAGAAAACAGGCAUGGAGGACGUCCAGAACAAGAAAUCUGAGGCACAAACUACUGGGAGACGCAGGUGCUGAGCUCUGCCUCUUCCUGAAGAUCCUCUGUCUUGGCCUUCAAGCUUUCAUGAUUACCACACCCUCCCCAGCCUUCUCAGAAAAAUCUUACAAGGCAGGAAGUUAUUACUUUGAGGACGUGAGUUGGGAAUCCUCAUUCACACACAUCUAUUCAAGAAUCAUCAGUGGAGGCAGCCAUUCAUCAGGCCAUCCCACCUGGAAUAUGGGGUUUCAACAGGGAAAUAGUGGCUACUCCUCUCAAAAAAUGGAAAGCAAAUGCAUAGAAAAUGAGAAUGCCUCUCAUAUCCUGCCUGCUCCUCAGAAGUCAGAUGCUGAACAUUUUGUGAUGUUAACUAAGAGACAGAAGAAUAAGAGAACAAAUGGCAACUCUUCUUGGUGACUCCUGGACAGCGUAGAACAUCUCAGUGGUCCUUUAUGCUGCUUAGUUGGAUAACUCACUUUCUACACAUUUCUAUGUUGAUAACUCUUACAUUUAUAUUUUCAUCCUGACUGCUUACCAGAGUUUUAGUCCCAUUGUGGGACUUUGUAAAGCCCAUUGGUAUUCGUAUGUCCCAGUGUCACAUGGAGCUCAACAGACGUAGAAUUAAACUCAGUUUGGUUCCCAGUGUCUCCUGUUUGUGGUGUUUACUUCCCUCCAAAUCAAAGGCUUUGCCCAUGUCUUUCCCAGAUCUGGGUGCCUCUCUUUCUGCUGGGCUCAGGUCUCCUGUUAUUAACAGUUUCACCAUUGUCGAAGUUCUCCAGGUUCAAAGCCCUGAAGGCGUUUCUAACAGAUUGCUCUCCUUCAUGCUUCGUAAUGAGUAAGUUCUUGAAAUUUUUCCUUUAGACUGAGAGCUGUUGAUGUUAUUUCCUUUCUAUCUCAUAGUCAUCAGACAACCGCAGACACUUGUCAAGUCUUGCCUGAACUAAUGCAGCAGCUUUCUAGCAGCGUUCCUGGCCACCUCUUCCCUUUCUCAAAUUCUGCUGCUAAACGAAUACUUAUAAGACAUCUACUCCCCUGCUGAGAAGCCUGUGAAGGCUCCUGAUCUCCCAACAUUGUGCCUAAGCUCUGCUGGCUGUGUCUCCCUCGUCUUUACCAUGACUCCAGCGUCUCCUUGCUCCUUAGUCUAGCCUGUCUUUGCAUUCUCCUUGAUUGUACUUCUCAACUUCCCACUGUGGCCCUUUCUCUCCUAUUCACCUCCCCAAAUCCUAACCACUUUUCAGCCUCUUCCCUGCAAGAUUCUUUUGCUUGUUUUCAUCCACUUCGAAUUCCCUUUCCUUUGAACUCCUAAAUCACGUCUUAUCUUUAGAUUGGAUGAUCAUCUUGGCAGCUUUGGUAGAACAGAAAGAACUUUGGAUUGGAGUCAGAUAAACUUGGCUCCUGAACAGGUCUCAAUAAUGCACUCUAGACCUGGAGCCAGUCAUUUUUACCUCUCUGAGUCUUGCUUUUUUUAAAUAAAAUGGAGAUAUUAAUACAUGAGAUGGACAGUGACAACAAAUGUGAAAGUACUGGCAUGCAAUCAGAUCUUCGAUGUUAGUUGAAUUUGAUUCUUUAAAAUUAUUUUUAAACACUUUAUAUCUGUUUGUCUGUCUUCUUCGUUUGGCUCCUGGAGAGCAAGUACUGUGUUUUACAUCCCUUUCUCCCACAAAAGACCUGGGCAUUGUUAUGUAAAAAUUUGCUGCCAAA
RNAcentral lists this long non-coding RNA (2478 nucleotides) under Equus caballus (horse). RNAcentral describes it as "lncRNA (ENSECAG00000030672.3)". Lineage: Eukaryota; Metazoa; Chordata; Mammalia; Perissodactyla; Equidae. The record is from RNAcentral.